Molecule: ribosomal RNA, 652 nt
Filed under: uncultured Bacillota bacterium
Lineage: Bacteria; Bacillati; Bacillota
Description: bacterial SSU rRNA
Rfam family: Bacterial small subunit ribosomal RNA
Source: RNAcentral
GGAUCCAGACUUUGAUUAUGGCUCAGGACGAACGCUGGCGGCGCGCCUAACACAUGCAAGUCGAACGAGAGAGAAGAAGCUUGCUUCUUUGAUCGAGUGGCGAACGGGUGAGUAACGCGUGAGGAACCUGCCUCAAAGAGGGGGACAACAGUUGGAAACGACUGCUAAUACCGCAUACGCCCACGGGUCGGCAUCGACCAGAGGGAAAAGGAGCAAUCCGCUUUGAGAUGGCCUCGCGUCCGAUUAGCUAGUUGGUGAGGUAACGGCCCACCAAGGCGACGAUCGGUAGCCGGACUGAGAGGUUGAACGGCCACAUUGGGACUGAGACACGGCCCAGACUCCUACGGGAGGCAGCAGUGGGGAAUAUUGCACAAUGGGGGAAACCCUGAUGCAGCGACGCCGCGUGGAGGAAGAAGGUCUUCGGAUUGUAAACUCCUGUUGUUGAGGAAGAUAAUGACGGUACUCAACAAGGAAGUGACGGCUAACUACGUGCCAGCAGCCGCGGUAAAACGUAGGUCACAAGCGUUGUCCGGAAUUACUGGGUGUAAAGGGAGCGCAGGCGGGAAGACAAGUUGGAAGUGAAAUCCAUGGGCUCAACCCAUGAACUGCUUUCAAAACUGUUUUUCUUGAGUAGUGCAGAGGUAGGCGGAAU